CUAUGGGGUGGUUAUGGGGUGGCUAUGGGUCCCAUGGGGUGGUUAUGGGGUGGCUGUGGGGUGGUUAUGGGUCCCAUGGGGGGGUUAUGGGGUGGUUAUGGGUCCCAUGGGGGGGUUAUGGGGUAGCUAUGGGUCCCAUAUAGGUCCUAUGGGGUGGCUAUGGGUUCCAUGGGGGUUAUGGGGUGGCUAUGGGUCCCAUAUAGGUCCUAUGGGGUGGCUGUGGGUCCCAUGGGGGGGUUAUGGGGUGGCUGUGGGUCCUAUGGGGUGGCUGUGGGUCCCAUGGGGGGUUAUGGGUCCCAUGGGGUGGUUAUGGGGUGGCUGUGGGUCCCAUGGGGGGGUUGUGGGUCCCAUGGGGGGGUUAUGGGGUGGCUAUGGGUCCCAUAUGGGUCCCAUGGGGGUUAUGGGGUCCCUAUGGGGUCCCUAUGGGGUCCUUAUGGGGUUAUGGGAUCCCUAUGGGGUCCCUAUGGGGUCCUUAUGGGGUUAUGGGGUUCUAUAGGGUCCUUAUGGGGUCCUUAUGGGGUUAUGGGGUCACUAUGGGGUCUCUAUGGGGUCCUUAUGGGUUUAUGGGGUCACUAUGGGGUCCCUAUGGGGUCCUUAUGGGGUUAUGGGGUCACUAUGGGGUCCCUAUGGGGUCCUUAUGGGGUUAUGGGGUCACUAUGGGGUCCUUAUGGGGUUAUGGGGUCACUAUGGUGUCCUUAUGGGGUCCUUAUAGGGUUAUGGGGUCACUAUGGGGUCCCUAUGGGGUCCUUAUGGGGUUAUAGGGUNNNNNNNNNNNNNNUAUGGGGUCCUUAUGGGGUUAUGGGGUCACUAUGGGGUCCCUAUGGGGUCCUUAUGGGGUUAUGAGGUUAUGGGGUCACUAUGGGGUCCUUAUGGGGUUAUGGGGUCACUAUGGGGUCCCUAUGGGGUCCUUAUGGGGUUAUGGGGUCCCUAUGGGGUCCUUAUGGGGUCCUAAUGGGGUUAUGGGGUCCUAUAGGGGCUAUAUGGGGUUAUGGGGUCACUAUGGGGUCCCUAUGGGGUCCUUAUGUGGUUAUGGGGUCACUAUGGGGUCACUAUGGGGUCAUUUUUGGGGUUUCUUAAUGGGAUUUGAUCUUUAUUAAUGGGGUUUUGGGUAUAUAUGGGAUUUAUGGGGUUAUUUAUGGGAUUUAUGGGGUUAUUUAUGGGAUUUAUGGGGUAUAUAUGGGAUUUAUGGGGUUAUUUAUGGGAUUUAUGGGGUUAUUAAUGGGAUUUAUGGGGUUAUUUAUGGGAUUUAUGGGGUUAUUUAUGGGAUUUAUGGGGUUAUUUAUGGGAUUUAUGGGGUUAUUUAUGGGAUUUAUGGGGUUAUUGAUGGGAUUUAUGGGGUUAUUGAUGGGAUUUUUGGGGUUAUUAAUGGGAUUUAUGGGGUAUAUAUGGGAUUUAUGGGGUUAUUAAUGGGAUUUAUGGGGUUAUUUAUGGGAUUUAUGGGGUUAUUUAUGGGAUUUUGGGGUUUCUUUGUGGGAUUUUGGGGUUUCUUUAUGGGAUUUUGACAUUUACUUAUGGGGUUUGGGUUUAUUAAUGGGGUUUGGGGUAUAUAUGGGAUUUAUGGGAUUUAUUCAUGGGAUAUAUGGGAUUUAUUGAUGGGAUUUAUGGGAUUUGGGGGUUUAUUUAUGGGAUUUUGGGGGUUUCUUUAUGGGAUUUUGGGGUUUCUUUAUGGGAUUUUGGGGUUUCUUUAUGGGGUUUGGGGUAUAUAUGGGAUUUAUGGGAUUAUUUAUGGGAAUUAUGGGGUUUAUUUAUGGGAUUUAUGGGAUUUUGGGGGUUUCUUUAUGGGAUUUUGGCAUUUACUUAUGGGGUUUGGGGGUUUAU
Molecule: long non-coding RNA, 1818 nt
Organism: Coturnix japonica (Japanese quail)
Lineage: Eukaryota; Metazoa; Chordata; Aves; Galliformes; Phasianidae
Source: Ensembl